GUGCUCGCUUCAGCAGCACAUAUACUAAAAUUGGAAUGAUACAGAGAAGACUAGCAUGGCCCCUGCACAAGGAUGACACACAAAUUCAUGAAGCGUUCCAUAUUUUU
Molecule: small nuclear RNA, 107 nt
Filed under: Zalophus californianus (California sea lion)
Lineage: Eukaryota; Metazoa; Chordata; Mammalia; Carnivora; Otariidae
Source: RNAcentral